CCUACGGGUGGCAGCAGUGAGGAAUAUUGGUCAAUGGACGCAAGUCUGAACCAGCCAUACCGCGUGCAGGAAGACGGCUCUAUGAGUUGUAAACUGCUUUUGUACGAGGGUAAACGCAGAUACGCGUAUCUGUCUGAAAGUAUCGUACGAAUAAGGAUCGGCUAACUCCGUGCCAGCAGCCGCGGUAAUACGGAGGAUUCAAGCGUUAUCCGGAUUUAUUGGGUUUAAAGGGUGCGUAGGCGGUCGGAUAAGUUAGAGGUGAAAUCCCGAGGCUCAACUUCGGAAUUGCCUCUGAUACUGUUCGGCGAGAGAGUAGUUGCGGUAGGCGGAAUGUAUGGUGUAGCGGUGAAAUGCUUAGAGAUCAUACAGAACACCGAUUGCGAAGGCAGCUUACCAAGCUACGUCUGACGUUGAGGCACGAAAGCGUGGGGAGCAAACAGGAUUAGAUACCCGUGUAGUC
This 460-nucleotide ribosomal RNA is filed under the name uncultured bacterium. Its description in RNAcentral is "partial 16S ribosomal RNA". It matches the Rfam family "Bacterial small subunit ribosomal RNA", at positions 338 to 795 of the family's 1533-position model. The record is from RNAcentral.